GGAAGGAUCAUUAGAAAACGACUCAAUCCCGCAAGGGAUUGAAUCAACUCCAAGCUAUCAUAAGGAGCUCUCCACCUAGUGGAUCUCCUCUUAAGGUGUCGAAAUGGGAUGAGCAGUCGGCAACGGUUGGGACUAGACUAGGCACCGAAACCUAAUAUGUAAUAUGUGUCGUAAAUAUAAAUACAAGGCUUAGCGGUGGAUGAAUUGGUUCGGAUAUCGAUGAAGAUCGUAGCAAAUUGCGUUAAUCAGUGCGAACUGCAGUAACCUGCGAGUACUUUAUCAUUGAAUGCACGCUGCGCCCAGAGUUUUUCUCUGGGCGUGUUCGGUUGAGUUGCGACUAAAUAACACAAAUCCCUCAAGGGGGGUAUUGGCGCCUCUAUUAACACGGUAGAGCGCUUAAAGGUUGGCCCAAGCGAAAGAGCUAGGAAAUAAUUACUUUCGGUUCUACCGUUAUAGUAGUGAAAGCCUAUGCACCGACUAGCUUUAGCAUCUAGAUCGACUAUUUAGUCCAUUUAAAAUUCGCACUCAACUCGAGCACGACUACCCUUGGAAUUUAAGCAUAUAAUUACGGGGAGGAAAAGAAACUAACAAGGAUUCGCCUAGUAACUGCGAGUGAAGAGCGAAAAGCCCAUCCUGAAUCCGAGAUCACUAACCUGGUCGAGGAGUUGUAGGGUAUGAUUGAUCCUUUGGUUGUGAUGCGAGGCUCGAAGUUCGUUGGAAAGCGAUCCCACAGAAGGUGAAAGGCCUGUAGAGCUGACCGUUGCGCCGUUAUAGGGGUUAUAUCAUGAGUCGUACUAUUUGAGAGUAUAGUACUAAGCGGUGAUAUGCAUCAUCGAAGGCUAAAUAUUGAUCCGAAACCGAUAGCAAACAAGUAGCGUGAGCGAAAUUUGAAAAGAACUUUGGAAAGAGAGUUAAAAGUACCUGAAACCGCUAAGUCGAAAGGGUUGAGCCGAGCUGAACGAGUGCUGGUGGGAUUCAGUCUCCUAAUAGUGGCAAAGUUUGUGAGGUAGUAGUCACUCAGUGGCUGCGCCAAGCGGGCGGCGUUGCGAAAAGAGCUGCACUUCCCGAUCAGCUGUGCAUUGCCAUUUUGUUUUCAGUUAGAAGUGGGGCUCUCGGUAGCCACUUCGGUGGUGAAGGAGCCUUGUGAUGGCUGGGGGCAGAUUGAGGUUCCCGAAAGGGGUUUUAGUGGACGGUAUCCUUGGGUGAAGGCCCAGGCACUGUCAAAGUGAGUUCAGUUUACUGGGCUUGUGGAGAUAAGGCCUACGGUUGGAAGCCCUGACGUUUGCUAGCGGCAAUGAAAGCGAGGCUGAACCACCCGUCUUGAAACACGGACCAAGGAGUCUAACAUGCCUGCAAGUCGAUAGCUUUAAAAGCUGGAGGCGAAAUGAAAGUAAUGUUUCCCAAGGGUUACACCUGCAGGAAAGACCUAACCUCGGAUUCGUUCUGAGGUUUGUGUUAGAGCACUUGGAUUAGGACCCGAAAGAUAGCGAACUUUGCUUGCACAGAUUGAAGGCAGGGGAAACUCUGCUGGAGGAUCGUAGCGUUGUUGACGUGCAAAUCACUCGUCAGAUGUGAGUAAAGCGGCGAAAGACUAAUCGAGCUAUCUAGUAGCUGGUUCCGUC
This 1622-nucleotide unclassified non-coding RNA is filed under the name Metazoa environmental sample. RNAcentral's name for it is "sequence contains 18S rRNA gene, ITS1, 5.8S rRNA gene, ITS2, 28S rRNA gene". The stretch from base 521 to 1622 matches the Rfam family "Eukaryotic large subunit ribosomal RNA", at positions 1 to 961 of the family's 3401-position model. The record is from RNAcentral. Lineage: Eukaryota; Metazoa.